Molecule: ribosomal RNA, 256 nt
Filed under: uncultured bacterium
Lineage: Bacteria
Description: partial 16S ribosomal RNA
Rfam family: Bacterial small subunit ribosomal RNA
Source: RNAcentral
UACGAAGGGGGGCUAGCGUUGUUCGGAAUUACUGGGCGUAAAGCGCACGUAGGCGGACAUUUAAGUCAGGGGUGAAAAUCCCGGGGGCUCAACCCCGGAACUGCCUUUGAUACUGGGUGUCUUGAGUCCGGAAGAGGUGAGUGGAAUUGCGAGUGUAGAGGUGAAAUUCGUAGAUAUUCGCAGGAACACCAGUGGCGAAGGCGGCUCACUGGUCCGGUACUGACGCUGAGGUGCGAAAGCGUGGGGAGCAAACAGG